UACGUAGGUCCCGAGCGUUGUCCGGAUUUAUUGGGCAUAAAGCGAGCGCAGGUGGUUUAUUAAGUCUGGUGUAAAAGGCAGUGGCUCAACCAUUGUAUGCAUUGGAAACUGGUGGUCUUGAGUGGAUGAGAAGUACGCGGAAUGCGUGGUGUAGCGGUGAAAUGCAUAGAUAUCACGCAGAACUCCGAUUGCGAAGGCAGCGUACCGGCAUCCAACUGACGCUGAGGCACGAAAGCGUGGGGAUCAAACAGG
This 252-nucleotide ribosomal RNA is filed under the name uncultured bacterium. Its description in RNAcentral is "partial 16S ribosomal RNA". It matches the Rfam family "Bacterial small subunit ribosomal RNA", at positions 524 to 776 of the family's 1533-position model. The record is from RNAcentral.